GUACUUAUCUCGCAGGGGAGAAUCGGUGGUCACGAUGGCCGAUCUCCCAGGCGAAGGUUAUCCCAUUGCACCUCAGGUGUGCUGAUGCCUGCAAUGUCCCCAAAUACGGGAUCCUCGACUGCAAAGUUUGUGAUAGUGAGGGACUGCGAUUUUCUUUCUUUUU
This is a small nuclear RNA of Amblyraja radiata (thorny skate), 163 nucleotides long. RefSeq annotates it as U1 spliceosomal RNA. NCBI's taxonomy places the organism in Eukaryota, Metazoa, Chordata, Chondrichthyes, Rajiformes, Rajidae. The record is from RefSeq and is a predicted model, not a curated record. The transcript has a single exon.